GAUGAACGCCGGCGGUGUGCCUAAUACAUGCAAGUCGAGGGGCAGCAUUUUUAGUUUUGCUUGCAAACUAAAGAUGGCGACCGGCGCACGGGUGAGUAACACGUAUCCAACCUGCCGAUAACUCGGGGAUAGCCUUUCGAAAGAAAGAUUAAUAUCCGAUAGUAUAUUAAAACCGCAUGGUUUUUACUAUUAAAGAAUUUCGGUUAUCGAUGGGGAUGCGUUCCAUUAGUUUGUUGGCGGGUAACGGCCCACCAAGACUACGAUGGAUGGGGGUUCUGAGAGGAAGGUCCCCCACAUUGGAACUGAGACACGGUCCAAACUCCUACGGGAGGCAGCAGUGAGGAAUAUUGGUCAAUGGACGAGAGUCUGAACCAGCCAAGUAGCGUGAAGGAUGACUGCCCUAUGGGUUGUAAAACUUCUUUUUAAUAAUGGGAAUAAAGUAUUCCACGUGUGGGAUUUUGUAUGUACCGUAUGAAUAAGGAUCGGCUAACUCCGUGACAGCCGCCGCAGU
This 511-nucleotide ribosomal RNA is filed under the name uncultured bacterium. RNAcentral's name for it is "bacterial SSU rRNA". It matches the Rfam family "Bacterial small subunit ribosomal RNA", at positions 28 to 521 of the family's 1533-position model. The record is from RNAcentral.